UCGGGAAUUUUGGACAAUGGGCGCAAGCCUGAUCCAGCCAUGCCGCGUGCAGGAUGAAGGCCUUCGGGUUGUAAACUGCUUUUGUACGGAACGAAAAGACUCUGGUUAAUACCUGGGGUCCAUGACGGUACCGUAAGAAUAAGCACCGGCUAACUACGUGCCAGCAGCCGCGGUAAUACAGAGGGUGCGAGCGUUAAUCGGAAUUACUGGGCGUAAAGCGCACGUAGGUGGCGACGUAAGUCGGGUGUGAAAGCCCCGGGCUCAACCUGGGAACCGCAUUCGAGACUGUGUUGCUGGAGUACGGAAGAGGAGGGCGGAAUUCCCGGUGUAGCGGUGAAAUGCGUAGAUAUCGGGAGGAACAUCAGUGGCGAAGGCGGCCCUCUGGUCCAGUACUGACACUCAAGUGCGAAAGCGUGGGGAGCAAACAGGAUUAGAUACCCCCGUAGUCCCUGAGCGGGCUGGCAAGGCGCAU
This 472-nucleotide ribosomal RNA is filed under the name uncultured bacterium. Its description in RNAcentral is "bacterial SSU rRNA". It matches the Rfam family "Bacterial small subunit ribosomal RNA", at positions 355 to 825 of the family's 1533-position model. The record is from RNAcentral.